CAUCCUUGGACAAAUUUGACUUUUCCUUGCACAUAUUCCAGUCAUCAUCAUUUUCAUCCAUUUUAUCCAUUGUACUAUCUUCUCGAGGACUCUUCUUCUUGCUUGACGUUCCUAGACAUUGUUCUCCAUUUAAUUUAGCAGGUGCCCAGGAAGGAAAUGAACUACAAACAGGUAACUUCCCUGAAUUUUUUAUUAUAUUUUUCAGACUAUUUUUUGGUUUCGACUCAGGUGAAACAUCACUUCCCUGGUUUCUUGUGUUACUUGGUAUAUGAUGUCCAUCACUUAGAGGGAAAACCUCAUACUCAUCAGUAUCGUCUUCCCACUCACCAAUAUAGUAAUCAUUACCGUAUCUCUUGAAUGAUGCAGUAGCACGUCGUACAGAUAUCCUUUUAUUCUCGGCAUCUUUUUCAUGAAUUCCCUGCUUCUUUUUUCCAUCCUUGGACAAACUUGGCUUUUCCUUCCACUCAUCUUCACUUGUACUCUCUCCUUGAGGAAUCUUCUUCUUGUUUGACGUUCCUAGACAUUGUUCUCCAUUUAAUAUAGCAGGCACCCGCCUUUUAUUCUCUGAGCCUUGAAUUUCACGAGUCCCUGGCAUUUUCUUUCCAACCUUGGGUAAAGUUGGUUUUUUCUUGCACACACCCUGCUUUUCUUCACUUCCAAAUUCCACCUUGUUCAUUGUAUUAUCUCC
Molecule: long non-coding RNA, 688 nt
Filed under: Solanum tuberosum (potato)
Lineage: Eukaryota; Viridiplantae; Streptophyta; Magnoliopsida; Solanales; Solanaceae
Description: long non-coding RNA (STUB_LNC003083)
Source: RNAcentral